Long non-coding RNA from Oreochromis niloticus (Nile tilapia), 1321 nucleotides. RefSeq lists it as uncharacterized. NCBI's taxonomy places the organism in Eukaryota, Metazoa, Chordata, Actinopteri, Cichliformes, Cichlidae. The record is from RefSeq and is a predicted model, not a curated record. The transcript has 3 exons.
UAGACACCUGCACCGCGAGGGAAAAAGGCGCACGAAAGUGGCAGGAAGACGAAGACAAAACGUGGGUACGGCGAGGACGUCCUUUACGCCGCUGCUCUGCUCUCUACAGUAAACAGAGAAGGGAGACUCUCUCUUCAAACGCUAGCUCGAUAGGUGCCAUCUAGCAAAGACACCAUCUGUCACAACUUCCUCCCACGUUCCUCCCACAUUUCCGGUUCACGCGCGUCAAAAUUACAUAUUUUGACACGCGAUAAAUUCGCAUUGGACACGCGUCGAUGUGCGAAUUUGCACGCGUCGAGUUAGGGGCGUCUGGCGCAUUUUGAUCACGUCUAUCGCGUUCAGUGUGAACACACCGUAAAAUACCACAGCUCUAAGGUGGAGGCUGAUUAGAAGCAGAUGGCAGAGCGAUCAAGUGCAGGUGAGGCCACAGCUGUGCGGAGGAGCUUCCGGGUGGAAGGCCAUCCGAGCCACGCCCUCCCCGGAAGCGCGAACUUCCGUAAACAAACCGCGCGGCUGGGAGAGAGGAGAAACAGGGAGAGAAUACACACAAAGUGAGCUACGGUUGUAUGGAGGGCUAUGGCAUCCUGACCUGUUCUUCCUGUGAACUGAGGAUCGAAUGUGUGAGUUCUGACCAGUUUCUCGAGACACUUCGAGAUGACUGGAGUAAGACCCACUGGCUCUGCGAGGCGCUAGAAAACUAAAUGAAAUGUUUAUUAAGGGAGAAAUGUUUCAGGAACCUGGGUUGAUAGUUUAUCUGAAGCAACAUCACAUCAGAAACACUCCCACCUCUGACCCAACUACCCAACCACAGCAGAGCGCUACUCUGGCAGGUCCAGCGUCAGCACCUGUAAACCGUCAGUGUUGAUUGGUCCGGGUCCAACAAACUGGUGGUUGGUAACCAGCAACAGCACUUCAAUGACGGGCACAAGAAGCUCUCUGGACGCUCCCUGUUGCUCUCCCAGAUCUCUUACCCCUCCAUGCCUCGCCUGCUCCCGCAAAGAAUGACUUUGAGAAUUUUCUGCCUCCUAAUUCCUCGCUAGCCACAUCUCUCGGUUCCUGCACUGGUCUAGCUGUCUGGCUGUGACAUGAAGCGCUCAUGAUUCCCAGUAAAAGACUUCUACAAGAAAUAUGUGUUCAGUCUGUGUGCAUGUCUGUGUGUUUAAAGUCUGCAUAAAGAUGAUACAGGUUCAUCCACAGUGUUGGGUCCAUGUUCAUGUGCAUUAUUCAAAUCUAGUGGAGAGCGACAAAGAACAAAAACUUUGGACAUGGAGAAAACAUGCAGAAAAUAAAAUAUUAACAUCGUUAAACUCCUAAUGCAGAG